RNAcentral lists this long non-coding RNA (653 nucleotides) under Sorghum bicolor (sorghum). Its description in RNAcentral is "long non-coding RNA (SBIC_LNC000918)". The record is from RNAcentral. Lineage: Eukaryota; Viridiplantae; Streptophyta; Magnoliopsida; Poales; Poaceae.
GCCAACAUAUCCGACGUGUGCGAGAGGAAGACGCACAACGCUGGGCUAGAUGGUACCAGAAUUUCCCGCCACCACAGUGAGCGAAGAUCUAGCUUGGGGGAGAUCCUCUCCCCCACUAAGGUAAGUAUUCUAUCCUAUUUAUUUUCAUGCAUUUUAUCAUUCUUACUUAAAAAUAAAUAAAUAUUUAUUAGCAUUUCCCUUUAGCAUAUAUGCUUCAUGUAUGCUUAUAUCCCUCAUGGAAAUGAUGACUAGUUGCUUGUUAAUGUUUCUCUAGUACCUAGUAUACAACUUAGUAUUUCUCUAAGUAUGGAUCACUUAGCUCACUUAAACUGCCAUGAACCUAAAAACUUUGUGGGUUGCAAGUGCUAGAACUAAGUCUAAGUUGUUGUGGGACAUGAGAUAGUAAGACAAGAGCUACUAUAAUAUUUUUCUAAGCAUGCAUGAUUAUCAGAGAUUUAUUCUUAAAAUGAUCAAAACCUUAAUUGUUCCUCAAUGGUGAUGAAUUCCUACCACAGCCAUAUCUACUUUACAUAAUUGCAACCUUUCCACAUAAGCUAUUUGCUUUGGGUUGAGUGUCGUCAAGUCUUGUUGACCCUUGUUAAGAGACUUUUCAUGCUCCUAAGAUCAAGAUCACGUACACACCACAUAUAUAU